AUGGACAAAUUGGACAGUGCAUUUGAGCAGGUGAAGCAGAUGUUGUAUGGCAGGCUCCAUGAUGUGCAAAAAAGCAGAUUGUAGAGAGGGUGCACAUCCCAGGGGCUCCUUUAUUGAGACCAAGAGAAGCCAAGAACGAUAAUGCUGCGGCCAGAGAAAAGACGAAUCAUCUAUCGCCCGUUGCUGAUGUGAUGCUGCAGCGACUAGGACAUCAUGAUGAGAUUGUCGAUGACUUGGCUGUUCUUAUGGAGUCGCCCGGAAACUGGUCACAUUGUAGUCCGCUCUAAAUGUUAUGUCUGAGUCUGCUCCCAAAGUUCAGUUUGUGUAUCUUUCUUACUGCUGUAAUGUUGUAAAGAGCUGUAUGUAUGUGAUGCUUCGGACUUCUGAGUCCGCUUGUUUCGUGACUCAGUUGCAAAGAUACAAAAAGUAGAGCUAAAUAUGACAGCAUCAAAAGUCCUAGAUGUAAUUUAAAUUUUAUAUGAGGAUCAUAAUUGUUUGCGUGUGUUUCAUUUUCU
This is a long non-coding RNA of Lolium perenne, 515 nucleotides long. RefSeq lists it as uncharacterized. Lineage: Eukaryota; Viridiplantae; Streptophyta; Magnoliopsida; Poales; Poaceae. The record is from RefSeq and is a predicted model, not a curated record.